This 240-nucleotide ribosomal RNA is filed under the name uncultured bacterium. RNAcentral describes it as "partial 16S ribosomal RNA". It matches the Rfam family "Bacterial small subunit ribosomal RNA", at positions 96 to 334 of the family's 1533-position model. The record is from RNAcentral.
UGGCGAACGGGUGAGUAACGCGUGAGGAACCUGCCUCAAAGAGGGGGACAACAGUUGGAAACGACUGCUAAUACCGCAUAAGCCCACGACCCGGCAUCGGGUAGAGGGAAAAGGAGCAAUCCGCUUUGAGAUGGCCUCGCGUCCGAUUAGCUAGUUGGUGAGGUAACGGCCCACCAAGGCGACGAUCGGUAGCCGACCUGAGAGGGUGACCGGCCACAUUGGGACUGAGACACGGCCCAA